AACGAACGCUGGCGGCAUGCCUAACACAUGCAAGUCGAACGAGACCUUCGGGUCUAGUGGCGCACGGGUGCGUAACGCGUGGGAACCUGCCCUUAGGUUCGGAAUAACUCCCCGAAAGGGGUGCUAAUACCGGAUAAUGUCUUCGGACCAAAGAUUUAUCGCCUUUGGAUGGGCCCGCGUUGGAUUAGCUAGUUGGUAGGGUAAAAGCCUACCAAGGCGACGAUCCAUAGCUGGUCUGAGAGGAUGAUCAGCCACACUGGGACUGAGACACGGCCCAGACUCCUACGGGAGGGAGCAGUGGGGAAUAUUGGACAAUGGGCGAAAGCCUGAUCCAGCAAUGCCGGGUGAGUGAUGAAGGCCUUAGGGUUGUAAAGCUCUUUUACCCGGGAUGAUAAUGACAGUACCGGGAGAAUAAGCUCCGGCUAACUCCGUG
RNAcentral lists this ribosomal RNA (433 nucleotides) under uncultured bacterium. RNAcentral's name for it is "partial 16S ribosomal RNA". It matches the Rfam family "Bacterial small subunit ribosomal RNA", at positions 29 to 507 of the family's 1533-position model. The record is from RNAcentral.